RNAcentral lists this small nuclear RNA (127 nucleotides) under Cricetulus griseus (Chinese hamster). RNAcentral describes it as "7SK RNA". It matches the Rfam family "7SK RNA", at positions 1 to 187 of the family's 331-position model. From Rfam's summary of the family: 7SK was discovered as an abundant small nuclear RNA in the mid-70s but a possible function has only recently been suggested. Two independent studies have found that 7SK RNA binds the CDK9/cyclin T complex (known as elongation factor P-TEFb). Lineage: Eukaryota; Metazoa; Chordata; Mammalia; Rodentia; Cricetidae. The record is from Rfam by way of RNAcentral.
GGAUGUGAGGGCGAUCUGGCUGCAACAUCUGUCACCCUCAUUGCUCCGUGUGUGUCUCUCCUGAAGCUGUGUGCUUGGUAGAAGAGAACGACCUUCCCUGAAUAGAGGAGGGCCAGAUUUGUGUGAC